GACCGACCGACCGUCAACCUCGGAACGACCAGGAUGACUGAAAUAUCGUGUUCGGGGGUUUUCUCGCACGCUGAGUCCAAAUCUGGUAGUGCCGAUGUCGUCCGGGCCCCCCGGGGACGUCAUUGGGGACCUCCCGAGCACGCCGAUGACACUCCCACGACAAAUACGAUUCGGCUCCAAACGUCGUGUACCCCGGCUGGUGCAUAUUUCUUAAAAGUCGCCAAAUGUGAUUAUUAUUAAUAGCAAAUCGCCCAUAAUAGUUUAUUAUCCAGAUCAAUUCACUAUUGUCACAUGGCACUUCCCUGGCGUUGCCGCCUGGAGCCACACAACGAUGCACGGGACGGGAAGCAUCCCCAAAGGAUCACAUCCUGGACAAGUGAGGCGGGAUUGCCUACCCCAGGAGAGAAUCACAUCCCGCGACCACGAUAUGUCGGAACUCGGCCCAGAAAUGUUCUUGACAUGAGCAAGAGAAGUCUAUGGAGUAAUUUUACCCAAAAGAAUAGGUGAGUUGACAUGACAGUAACCAACGCUGGUCUAAUUUGUCUCUGUACAGACAAUAUGAGGAGCUUCCUUUCAUGUGCAUCAAAGGGUGGUUUUUGAUGUUUUUUGUGGUGCCUUGGUUCUUUGUUGUUGCUUUCAAGCCUCCUCUGUCAAAAUCCAGGCUGAUUUGUUAUCACUGAAAAUGUCUUUUAAAAAUCUUGCCAAUUUGGGAAAUUGCUGGAAUUGGUUUGGAUUGAUGGGGCAAACUCCCUUUUCACAUGCUCUGUCUAAAUAUCAUGGUGCCUACCCACUACAGCAGAGUUCUUAGCCGGUGCCCCUUCCUUAGGUAGCCCGCCAGAUUAGACCACCUUUAAAACGCAAGUUUCUGUGGACAGGGGUGGUUUCUGACGGAACCAAAAGUAGUUUUGUGGUUCCCUGGGUCACCCCUGUCGAUUCGACUACUCUUCCGUCAAAAUCCGGACCCAUCAGUUUUCGC
RNA transcript from Frankliniella occidentalis (western flower thrips), 976 nucleotides. RefSeq lists it as uncharacterized. The record is from RefSeq and is a predicted model, not a curated record. The transcript is spliced from 2 exons. NCBI's taxonomy places the organism in Eukaryota, Metazoa, Arthropoda, Insecta, Thysanoptera, Thripidae.